AACGAACGCUGGCGGCGUGGAUAAGACAUGCAAGUCGAACGGGAUCAUUGAGGUAGCAAUAUCGCGAUGGUCUAGUGGCGAACGGGUGCGUAACACGUGGAUACAUUCCGGGAAGCGAGGGAUAGCCCAGGGAAACUUGGAUUAAUACCGCAUGUGGUCGAAAGACUAAAGGCAGGGACCGCAAGGCCUGCCACUUCCCGAUUGGUCCGCGGCCUAUCAGCUAGUUGGCGGGGUAAAAGCCCACCAAGGCUACGACGGGUAGCUGGUCUUAGAGGACGACCAGCCACACUGGAACUGAGACACGGUCCAGACACCUACGGGUGGCAGCAGUCGAGAAUCUUUCACAAUGGGGGCAACCCUGAUGGAGCGACGCCGCGUGGAGGAUAAGGGUCUUCGGAUUGUAAACUCCUGUCAUGUGUGAACAAACCUGGUGGUUGAACAAACUACCAGCUGAUAGUAGCAGAAGAGGAAGGGACGGCUAAACUCUGUGCCAGCAGCCGCGGUAAU
Molecule: ribosomal RNA, 507 nt
Filed under: uncultured bacterium
Lineage: Bacteria
Description: bacterial SSU rRNA
Rfam family: Bacterial small subunit ribosomal RNA
Source: RNAcentral